UCGGAUCUGGGCGUAAGCGCACGCAGGCGGUCUGUCAAGUCGGAUGUGAAAUCCCCGGGCUCAACCUGGGAACUGCAUUCGAAACUGGCAGGCUAGAGUCUUGUAGAGGGGGGUAGAAUUCCAGGUGUAGCGGUGAAAUGCGUAGAGAUCUGGAGGAAUACCGGUGGCGAAGGCGGCCCCCUGGACAAAGACUGACGCUCAGGUGCGAAAGCGUGGGGAGCAAACAGGAUUAGAUACCCUGGUAGUCCACGCUGUAAACGAUGUCGAUUUGGAGGUUGUGCCCUUGAGGCGUGGCUUCCGGAGCUAACGCGUUAAAUCGACCGCCUGGGGAGUACGGCCGCAAGGUUAAAACUCAAAUGAAUUGACGGGGGCCCGCACAAGCGGUGGAGCAUGUGGUUUAAUUCGAUGCAACGCGAAGAACCUUACCUGGUCUUGACAUCCACAGAACUUUCCAGAGAUGGAUUGGUGCCUUCGGGAACUGUGAGACAGGUGCUGCAUGGCUGUCGUCAGCUCGUGUUGUGAAAUGUUGGGUUAAGUCCCGCAACGAGCGCAACCCUUAUCCUUUGUUGCCAGCGGUCCGGCCGGGAACUCAAAGGAGACUGCCAGUGAUAAACUGGAGGAAGGUGGGGAUGACGUCAAGUCAUCAUGGCCCUUACGACCAGGGCUACACACGUGCUACAAUGGCAUAUACAAAGAGAAGCGACCUCGCGAGAGCAAGCGGACCUCAUAAAGUAUGUCGUAGUCCGGAUUGGAGUCUGCAACUCGACUCCAUGAAGUCGGAAUCGCUAGUAAUCGUAGAUCAGAAUGCUACGGUGAAUACGUUCCCGGGCCU
This 832-nucleotide ribosomal RNA is filed under the name Klebsiella sp. Its description in RNAcentral is "bacterial SSU rRNA". It matches the Rfam family "Bacterial small subunit ribosomal RNA", at positions 545 to 1381 of the family's 1533-position model. The record is from RNAcentral. Lineage: Bacteria; Pseudomonadati; Pseudomonadota; Gammaproteobacteria; Enterobacterales; Enterobacteriaceae.